AAUCAUGAAUCCAACUGCUGGAGACACUUGUGCACAGUAGAUACAAACUUUCAGUUGGCUUGGGUAACUACCCGGAAGCUCCACCACUGGGCUCCUGUGCUCAGAACACAAUUAGGUUCUUCGGAAGCUGAGGACUGCCCUCCAGAACGCCUACACCGUCUGCCUCGUUUUUGCCAUCGAUGGCAGAGUUCCUGCUGCUACCCAGCCUUCGUUUUGAUUUGGUGAGACUUUGAUUUGGUAGGCAUCCCAUAGUGUGUGGUGGCAUCUACCAACAUGAGGGUGCCUUUACUUGAUUAUUUAUUUGUUCAUUGGACACCUGUGCAUCCUCUUUGGAGAAAUGUCUAUUCAGAUAUUUUUGUCCAUUUUUAAGCUGAGUCUGUCUUUUCUUUUCCUUCCUUCCUUUCUUUCUUUCUUUCCUUCCUUCCUUCCUUUCGAUUUAAGGGACCUUGGUAUAAUUUGGAUACAAAUCAUUUAUUAGUUAUUCCUAAAUAUUUGUCCCAGCAUACCACUUUUCUUUACGCUUAACGCAGUCACUGGCAGAGGAGAACAUUUUUUUUUAAUCUUUAUUUUUUUAAUCUUUAUUAACUUGAGUAUUUCUUAUUUACAUUUCAAUUGUUAUCUCCCUUCCCAGUUUCUGGGCCAACAUCCCCCAACCCCUCCCCCUCCCGUUUUGUAUGGACUUCCCCUCCCCAUCCUCCCCCCAUUUCCACCCUCCCCCCAACAAUCACGUUCACUAGGUGUUCAGUCUUGGCAGGACCAGAGGAGAACAUUUUAAUAGAGCACUCUGUCGUCUACUCUUACAUCUUGCCUCCAAGCUUCCCCUCUGAAAGGUCGUCCUAGAGCCACAGAGCCACGGCUGCCUCCUCCCGCUACCUUCUGAAAGCAUCCCAGAGUUGCAGCUUACAUUGGUUUUCUGAGGAACAGAAGGUCCGAGUUUAUUUAAAAAAAAAAAAAAGGUGGGUCUUCAGUUGUCUCCAAACCCUGUCUCUCUCGCAGCUCAUUUAAAUAUUAUCUACUAGCCGAGGUUCACCAGCCUGAUCCAACCUGGUACAGAGUCUUAGCACUAAACUUACAAUUUAGGCUCUGGGCUUUUCAGACUGAGAAUUUUUGCCGGGUUGUGGGUUUCUGAGUUAUGUAAUAUCCAUUUCUUGCUGACAUUGUGCACUCUGACUUUAUUGUUUAAUCUCCUUAAACAUAACAAGUGCGUUCAUAGUUUGGACGUAACCAUGAGAUAUCAGAAGCAUUUGUGGGUCUCUAUUCCUACCUGUGUAUACCUUCUUUAUCUCUGAAUAUACCUUUCAUUUUGUGUUUUUGCUUUGUUUUGUAUCACUAAGGAUGGAACCUUGUGCACACUGAGACACACCCUCAGUGUUAGAUGUUGUUUUUAGAGGUGGUGGUGGAAUCCUUAAAGACAUGGAUUACGUCUGUUUCUUCCUGUGGCUUCCAGGCACCUGAAUCCUGGAACUGCUUUAUUAUGACGACUUUAGUCCUUGACGUUGCCUGGAUUGGAGGUGUGUGCAUUUGUUUUGGUUCCUGGUUUUUGUUGAUUCCUUUGUUUCUGAGACAGGGUCAGGGUCUCACCAGGUAGCUCUGGCUGGUCUGACUGGCUAUGUAGACCCAAGUAGCUCUGAAUUUAUGGAGAUCCUCCUGCUCCUGUCUUCGGAGUGCUGGCAUUAUAGGUUACGUUUUGUCCUACUGGGUCACGAGUCUCACUACAUAGCCCAGGUUGGCCUGCCCCAGCCCUUGAGUGUUGGGAUUUCAGGAAAGUGCCACCACACUGUAACACGAUGACUUGGGACCUGACAGGAUCCACCCGACAGUUGAUUCUCUUUUGUUUUACCUUUACAUGCCACCCAAGGCCUGGUCUCAACCCACUGUCCUGACCUCAGUGUUGGGUAUUUAGCAAGGACUUCAGCUCUCACAGGUUGUGAAUGAGCCCCUACACCUUGGCCUGUCCACAAAGCUGCCCCCAGCCUUGUUCUGAUUGGAAGCUGUUUGUACCUGAGCGUUAUACACAAAACCUCCGGGGUCCACUGGGCCUUGGUCUAGUAAUCUAUCCUUCACUAACCCUGCUGUAUUUCCAGCUCCUUCAAGCACAGGCUUAAAAACCUGUAAUCACAUGUAUGUAUGUAUGUAUGUAUGUAUGUAUGUAUGUAUGUAUGUAUGUAUGUAUGUAUGUUUGUAUAUGUAUCUAUCUAUCUAUCCAUCCAUCCAUCCAUCCAUCCAUCCAUCUGGGUGCUUACAUGAAUGACAGGGUGUUCCUGUAGAAGUCAGAGGACAGAGUUUUGGGAGUCCAGUUUCUCUUUCGACCACAUGAGUGGGUUCUGGGGUUUGAACUUAGGUCUGCAUCCCAAGCUUGGGCUUGAACUUGAUGGAGGAGGUGACCCUGAUCCCCCAGUAUGUCGCUUCUGACUUCAAGGUCAGAACAGGGACUUCCUAUCCUAUGAACAUCACAUACUUAUGGUCCCAGCACAACUGAUUUCAUAUUACACACAUGCUUAGCUCACCGCUAUCACAACACCGAGACUAAGUCUGCUUCAUGGACAAGUUGUUCCUACUUAGUAAUCUGUUAAGGUGAGUCACCCCACCUGCCCUGAGGCCUCUGAUCACUGACGCACAGAUCUCGUCAUCUUACAAAGCAUGAAUGGCGCUUUUGUUCUUCCCACAGCCAGUCAUCCCCUAAGUCUCUGUGUCUUUAAUAUAUUUUACUCUGUUUUAUCACUUUCUUGGUUUCAGGCCAACCUUUAGGCUUCCCGAAUGUACCCCAUACAGUGGAUUAUCUGCUACUAAGUGGGUAUAUUUUUAACAUGAUGAUUUAACAUUACUUUUGAGAAUUUCAUGGCCAUUCUUAGGAAUGAUUUUUAGCAUAGCACUGUGCACCAGUAUGUUCAUGUAAAAAGUAGUAGUGGUUGUUCAUAAUGUCCUUGUGCCUUGUCAACUUCAAUGCUUUUCCUUCUCUGAGCAGCCAAAGGUGGCAUGGCUUUCUCGGUGGGAAACAAGGCUAUCUUAUUACCAGGAUGACUGUAUGCUUUGAAACCUCUGGGAGCAAAAAAAAAGAUACAGAUAGCUAAAGGAGCAUGUAUCCUCCUAGAGCAGAAAACCUUCAAGACCGUAGAUUUUAUGAAUCAUGAUCACCUCAGCAAUUACUCAGGGACAACUGUCAGGACCCUCCACAUCUGACCAUGAAUGACGACCAGCUCAGCUCACUUCAGAAACAUUAGCUACUUCCUUUCUCUUGAGACACCUCCUACUGUUUAUUCAGUGCAUGCCUUCCUUGCUGGAGUUCAAACUCUUAGUGCCAAAGAUAAUAUGAAUGGUGCCUUCAAUAACUAUAAGGCAUGAAAUAACAUUUUAUCAGUUUUCCAUAAUCCAAGAGCUAUGUUAGUUUUCUUCAUAGCCCCAGGGGAAAUAAGCUUGUCUUUUCUCCCAUGUUCUCAUGUGUCCUAGACUCCGACCAUGUGGAGAAGUUUGCCCUAAUUCUAUCUUAGAAAGCAUGGUUGUAAUCAGUGUCAUUACCUAGGGUUGGUCACUUUGCUAGUGACUUGUGGUACUAAACAUCUCUCUAAUACUCAGCAAAAGGCUCCCUGAUGAUAAAUUCACUUUCAUUUAUUCAGGGCUGCUCACUCAAAUACCUUCUCAUGGCUGUGCCAUUUAUACUUGAACCUCUGGGGUUUCCACCAGUAAAAAGGUCAUCAUAAGUUGGCCAAGGCAGUGGGGGACAGCUUUGACUAGCAGUCACUGUAAUUAGCUAAGAGCUCUGAUUCAGCUUACAGAAUCAGUUGGUGUUCGAUCAGAAUGUCUGGAAAACCUUUCCAAAGAUAUUAACUCCUCUUGGAAAGACAGAAGAUAGUUUGUAACUAGUUAACCAAAUUUUAUUCCUGAGGACCUGCUUUUAGUCUUCUGCUUUCUAGAAAGUCCACUGUCUUAGUUACUGCUGUUGUAAAACAUCAUGACCAAAAGCAACGUGGGAAGGAAGGACAUGAGAAGCAGGAGCUGAUACAGAGGCCAUGGAGGGAUGCUGCUUCCUGGCUUGCUCCCCUGGCUUGCUCAGCCUGCUUUCUUAUAGAACCCAGGACCACCAACUCAAGGGUGGCACCACCUACAAUAGGCUGGGCCUUCUCAUAUCAAUUCUGAAUUAAGAAAAAUGUCCUACAGACUUGCCAGUCUGAUGGGGGCAUUUUCUCAGUUGAGAUCCCUCUUCCCAAAUGACUCUAGCGUGCCUUGAGUUGAGCACAGUUAUGCCAAUCUCUCUUAGCAUAUGAGCCAGCACCUGCUUCUUCUUCUUGCUAAACUCCUUUAGAGAUCAGCAGGACAGAAGCACUCCCCGGCACAGAUUCAAGGAUCUUCUGAGAAUGUAAGAAUGGGUGAGAACAUUGCCAACAUAGGGUAAGAAACACGCUGCCAGGGCUGGAGAGAUGGCUCAGUGGUUAAGAGCACUGACUGCUCUUCCAGAGGUCCUGAGUUCAAAUCCAGCACCCACAUGGUGGCUCACAACCAUCUGUAAUGGGAUCUGGCGUCCUGUCUGGGCAGGGGGGAUGUAUAUGCAGCAGAGCACUCAUACACUAAAUAAAUAAAAUUAAAAAAAAAAAAAAAGAAACACGCUGCCUACAUCAGGGCCAACAUGCUGGCUCAGGCUUAAAUUUUAAAUUAGAAUGCUAGUCUUAGUUCCGCGGUGGCCAGGUAUUACCCACAGGUUCCUGCGAUGAGUUGGGAUCGUAACUGCGUACUAAGUCCGUGCUGAUGCCCAGUUCCACGCCAGCACUUACCUUGGGAGGCUUUCUUCACGACGAAAAGAAAAAAAUUCAAUAGCGGAGACACAGAAGGUUGUCAACACAAUGGCCACAUCAGAGGGAAACAAUGAAAGAGAAAAAGAAAAGAAAAAAACAAAAAACAAAUUCAGCAACUUCGUAAUGGGAUCUGGAAAGCCACAUAUAACUAGGGGCCUGCGGUGAUAAACCUUUCACUGUGGGCAUGGAUUGAGGGGAUGUUUUAAAUGGCUUUAAGAAAUGGUGGUAGUGAAGGAGAUACGGAAAUCCUAUAACCGUACUGCGCAUAGCUGGAUUCUUUUAAACUAGCUUUACAUGUAAAUUUUCUUCCUGGCUCCCACCUUUUUUCUUUGGGAUAGGGUUUCACAUAAUUCAGGCCGGCCUUGAACUAGGAACAGCAAACGAUGACCUUGAGCGUCUGAGCCUCGUCUCUACCACCUGAUUGCUACAAUUAUAGUGCUGAAAAAAAAAUCACUGAGCCUCAGUAGCAGCCCUGCAAUGUUCAUUUUUGCAAGUUAACAAUUCAGAAAUGAUUGAAGUUUUAUACUCGAAGGAAACAUCAAAAGGUGAAGGUUACAAAGCAAGAAAGCAUGAGCUCGACACGCCUUGUAAAUAUUUCCCUUCCAUGGGGAUUUCCAGACCUGGAGUUUGACUUCUAGGCUAUGGGAUCCUAGGAUAGUUCUUGGCUUUCCUGGUGUGUUGUUCCUGAUCACGCUCUUAUAAUAUCAAUUCAAAAAUGUGAAUAACUGUCGAGAAAUGGGGCGCCCUCCCUAUGCCUUCAUGGCAGUCAGGAUCACGGGGAUCAGAAGACUAAGCUGAGGUGUGGUGUGUACAUCCUCCCUGUGCCCAGGUACAGAGAGACAAGCAAGAGGCAGGAGGACCGACGGGCACGAGCUUGAGACCAGCCUAGCUCGUCUCCAUAAAUUCCAGAGCAGCCCGGACUACACAGCAAGACUGUCUCAGAAAAGGGAUAGAGGUUAAUUAAUUUAAUUUAAAUUCAUUGAAUCUUCUCCAGCACGAGGCCCUACGAUCCCCAUAGAACUUCAAGGGCCACUUGAAAUAUUCAUAGCUCAGAAGCAGAGAAAGUCAUGGACUCAGACGGGUGGACGGUUCUACACUUCUGAACGCAAGCAAAGAAAAGCGAAGACACUCCCCUCGUGUUGAAACUGAGGCAUCAUUUCCCUGGCAGCCCAUGAACUAGCCAGAAGGCCGUCAGUCGGUGUGCCUAUGCCUACCUUGGACACAGUGAGGAUUCCACUUUGGCGUUAUAGCUCUUUGUCUGGUCUAACUGGUAUUUCUAGUUGUUAUCGGGCCAGUCUGAAUCUAUGAGCUAGUCCCCCCCUCCAGACAAGACAGGCUGUGAGGAUGUCACGCUAAAAAUGCAUGGGUGUUUUUAACACCAGGAGUUUUCAUUCUCUACCCAAAGCUUGAGUUUUCUGCAGAGAACGCUGGAUGCAUCUGGUCUGCGCAGGGACAGUGAAAUUGAGAGCUUUACGCACCGUGCUGCUGAUGAAACCUCGUUUUUGCCUGCUUUACUUCAAUGUCCUUUAAACCACUGCUUUAUUUGACAAGGGAAAGUCACGUGGGUUAUAUUAGGGCCAUCACAUGUGUCCAGUUAAUACUGCCAUCCCUUGGCAUCCGUGAGGAUAGAUCCCCAAAUCCGUGGAUGCUCAACUACCUUACAUAAAAUGGUACAGUGCUUGCAUAUGACCCGCACACACCUCCUGUCCACCUAAACCCUCUCUAGACCACCUAACAUAACAAGUGCUAGGUAAAUAGGUGUUGUACUGAAUUGCUGGGGGAACAGUCACAAGCGUCUACACGGUCAGUACAGGCCGUUGAGUCUGAGGACCUAGAAUCGACACAGAGGACCGACCGCACAACGUCCUGUUUAACUACAGUGAACCAUUCAACCCAAUGAGGUGAGACAGAUGAAAUGGAACCUCACGGAGCCUCCAGUGACAUCACUGUCGCAUGGCUCCCUCUACCAACCCACAGGCUAGCAAGGAAUAGACACAGGGCAAAGGGAGUCACAAACUCAUGGGUGGCCACCCACUCCGACUCAGUAUCUGGUCUAGAAAGCAGACUCUUUAGAGAAGAAAACCAUCUUCUCCGUACAUCAUAUAUCCUGCGCACUAUUACCUGGGCAGCUUUUUGGAAAGUGUGAAUUGGGCGGUGAGUAGCCAAGAUGCCUACAUCCCCAGAGGUUGUGAGGCAAACCGGAGGACCCCAAUCCGGCCUGGACAGGGAAAAAUUGCUACCACACUAUUAAGUCCCGUGACACCCCUCCACACUUGUUAAGUCCCGUGACACCACUCGACGGGCAUCGGCCGUUUGCUUUGUCGCACACACAACGUUCCCCAUUGUCUUUAAAAAAAGAGUAGCUUUUAUCUUUCUGGGUUAUUUUAUUUUGUGUGUCUGUGUGGAGCUGAGCGCACACAUGAGCAUCACGGUGUGAGCACGGGGCAGUGCAGGCCAGCAGAGGCCAGUGAGGGAGGCCAGCACCCUGGAGCUGCAGUUACUACUGGUGGCUGUAAGCAACCAUGUGGGUGCUGGGGACUGAACCCUUACCUGUAAAAGCACAGCAUGUACUCUUAACUGCUGAGCCAGCACUCCGGGCCCUGCUGCCCGUUCCUUGUUUGUUUUGUGGCAGGGUCUCACUGUGUGCUACAGGAUCAAUUCUCCCAUCUCCACAUGCCCAGUGCUGAAAUUAUAAGCAUGCCUAUUUGACCUUGUAAGUGGCCCCCAUUUACUGUUUGUUCUUCCCGUUGGUAAGCUAAGAUGUUGGACUCCAUAGAGUUCACCCCUCCCCACCUUGAACUGGAACCUGUUAGGGUUUUCCCUGGUGCUGAAGCUACUCUGACGACCAACAAGGGCAUCACCGUCCACCUCGAGGUCAAUAUGGCCGCUCAGGGGCCGGAGAGAUGGCUCAGAGGUUAAGAGCACUGACUGCUCUUCCAGAGGUCCUAAGUUCAAUUCCCAGCAACCACAUGGUGGCUCACAACCAUCUGUAAUGAGAUCGGAUGCCCUCUUCUGGUGUGUCUGUCUGAAAACAGCUACAAUAUACUUAUAUAUAAUAAACAAAUAAAUAAAAUCUUUAUUUUUUUUUCUAUUUUUCGGAGCUGGGGACCGAACCCAGGGCCUUGCACUUCCCAGGCAAGCGCUCUACCACUGAGCUAAACCCCCAGCCCCUAAUAAAAUCUUUAAAAGGUA
Rattus norvegicus (Norway rat) is the source of this 7979-nucleotide non-coding RNA. NCBI's taxonomy places the organism in Eukaryota, Metazoa, Chordata, Mammalia, Rodentia, Muridae. The record is from RefSeq and is a predicted model, not a curated record.